UAACUACGUGCCAGCAGCCGCGGUAAUACGUAGGUGGCAAGCGUUAUCCGGAAUUAUUGGGCGUAAAGCGCGCGUAGGCGGUUUUUUAAGUCUGAUGUGAAAGCCCACGGCUCAACCGUGGAGGGUCAUUGGAAACUGGAAAACUUGAGUGCAGAAGAGGAAAGUGGAAUUCCAUGUGUAGCGGUGAAAUGCGCAGAGAUAUGGAGGAACACCAGUGGCGAAGGCGACUUUCUGGUCUGUAACUGACGCUGAUGUGCGAAAGCGUGGGGAUCAAACAGGAUUAGAUACCCUGGUAGUCCACGCCGUAAACGAUGAGUGCUAAGUGUUAGGGGGUUUCCGCCCCUUAGUGCUGCAGCUAACGCAUUAAGCACUCCGCCU
RNAcentral lists this ribosomal RNA (378 nucleotides) under Staphylococcus aureus. Its description in RNAcentral is "bacterial SSU rRNA". It matches the Rfam family "Bacterial small subunit ribosomal RNA", at positions 498 to 874 of the family's 1533-position model. Lineage: Bacteria; Bacillati; Bacillota; Bacilli; Caryophanales; Staphylococcaceae. The record is from RNAcentral.